AAAAAAUUUGAAGAUGUGGAAACAGUCAUUGAUUUUGGAAAAGAUCAAGCGAAAGUUAUAGAUGGCUUUGGGAAAUAUUUCGGUAUCAAUUGGUUGGUGAGGAGAGACGAGAGUUCAUAUUUUGCUAAGAAAAUGAAGGAAUGGCUCUUCCUCAAACCAAUGUGGGUCAACUAACAUCGAAGAAUAAAAUUAGGACGAAGAUAUAUGACUAGAGAAGAAGAGUUCAAGGAUAAUAGUAGAAGAAAAGAUGGACUUCCAAUCUAUCAAGAGACCCUCAACCCACAUGUUUUGAUUAAGGUCAGAUGCAAAACCUUGGUUUUAUAUAUUUUGUUUCCUUUUUUAU
This is a long non-coding RNA of Raphanus sativus (radish), 343 nucleotides long. RefSeq lists it as uncharacterized. The record is from RefSeq and is a predicted model, not a curated record. The transcript is spliced from 3 exons. NCBI's taxonomy places the organism in Eukaryota, Viridiplantae, Streptophyta, Magnoliopsida, Brassicales, Brassicaceae.